Molecule: long non-coding RNA, 1270 nt
Filed under: Physcomitrium patens
Lineage: Eukaryota; Viridiplantae; Streptophyta; Bryopsida; Funariales; Funariaceae
Description: long non-coding RNA (PPAT_LNC000006)
Source: RNAcentral
CAAACCACUAAAACACCAAAAAAUACUACAAUGCUUUCUCUCAAUAACAAUAUUCUUUCAUCAAUAGAUAAUAACAAUGUACAAUCUUGUACCCUCAAAAGACCGCUUAAAACACAUAAAUUCUAUCCAACAGUAGAAAUAACAGACUUCACUCCAAUCAAUCUACAUUCACAUAAUUUUUGUAAUUAUAGACUUCCUCUGUCGAAACAUUUACAACUCUCAUUAAACAACUAUCAUAAUCUUCCAUCCAUAAUCAACCUUCCAAUAACUUCUCAUAUAAUUUAAUUAUACAGUAUUCUAAUUACAUAAUCAAUAUCUCAUAAAUCAAUCUUUGAUUUAUUCCACAGAUUCACUUCUCAAUAUUCAGAAACUAUCCAUUACUCUUCAAUAACAAAGAAAUAAAGAGGUAGCACCAAGCUUACCCCAGCUCAUGACUAUCAUAGUUUGGCCCUUACAAUAUCUUCUUUAACUUACUUAUGCUUUACUUCUAAAAUUCUACAUUCUAAUCAUCAUUCCCUACUUAACCGUUGUCAUAAUAUGUGAAGUCUUGCUUGAGAAUGCUCCGAGCACUUGGCUGUGGAAGGAAGAAUAGAAAUUGCAAUAACAAAAUCUUAAUUCUAAUAGAAUACUAACAAUGCUCUAAUUAGACCAUAAUAAUGCUAAGCAAGCUUAAUCAAAUUCAAAAAAAAACCUCAAAGAAAUUUCAAACAAAUAAUAAGAAUUCUUAAAGAAAUAUUAGAAGGAUCACAAUUAUCACUCAAAUACAUCUCAAUUUAAUCUUAAUUUAAUUCUAGUUAAAAUCCUAUUGAACUUCAUUCAAACUUUAGGCCAAAACUAAUUGAAUCUUAAAUCCUAAUAAAAUCCUAAACCUUGAAUCAAACCCUAAAUAAACCUUAAACCAAAUCCCAACUAAAUCCUAAACCAAAUCCUAUCCAAACCCUAAAUCAAAUCCUAAUCAAAUCCUAAUCUAAAUUCUAAAUCCUAAACCAAAUCCUAAUCCAAAUCCUAAAUCUUAAAUCAAAUCCUAAACAAAUCUUAAAUCCUAAAUCAAACCCUAACCAAACCUUGAUCCAAAUAUUAAAUCCUAAUCAAACCCUAAACCUUAAACCAAACCCUAACUAAAUCCUAAAUCCUAAAUCAAAUCCUAACCAAAUCCUAAUCCAAACCCUAAACCCUAAACCAAACCCUAACCAAAUCCUAAACCAAACCCUAGUAAUUCCUAUAACAUAUUUAAACCUCAAUAUCUAAUGAAUAAACCGUUGAUCUUAAC